CAGUCGCCGCGGGAAUACGUAGGUGGCAAGCGUUGUCCGGAAUUAUUGGGCGUAAAGGGCUCGCAGGCGGUUUCUUAAGUCUGAUGUGAAAGCCCCCGGCUCAACCGGGGAGGGUCAUUGGAAACUGGGAGACUUGAGUGCAGAAGAGGAGAGUGGAAUUCCACGUGUAGCGGUGAAAUGCGUAGAGAUGUGGAGGAACACCAGUGGCGAAGGCGACUCUCUGGUCUGUAACUGACGCUGAGGAGCGAAAGCGUGGGGAGCGAACAGGAUUAGAUACCCCAGUAGUCCCUGUCUCUUAUAC
This 301-nucleotide ribosomal RNA is filed under the name uncultured bacterium. RNAcentral's name for it is "partial 16S ribosomal RNA". It matches the Rfam family "Bacterial small subunit ribosomal RNA", at positions 509 to 807 of the family's 1533-position model. The record is from RNAcentral.